UGCGCGGCUGAAAGGGAACUGGGUUCCAAGCAGCGGGAGGUCCCGGGCCAGGGUCUCCGGGUGGGUCCUCGCGCCCUAUCCUUACCAAGACGAGGGGUCGACAAGCUGCACCCCCUUCCAGGACAGGGACGCGGAGACCCACGGGUGACCCUGGUGGGGGGCCGUGACCGCCCCAAGAUCCUUGACCGCCAGGUGGCCUGCAGUCCUGGGGGGCCUGAACACCUCCCUCUGCUGAGUGGGAGCCCCUGCUUCAGGUGGUGGACACAGAGAGCUGGCUCAGACAACUGCUGAACUGAGGGGCCCCGGCGUGUCCCAGAUGCCAGGUUGGAGGGAGAGCAGCACUGGCUGGACAGGCCCAGCCUAGUGAUGCCACCUCAAAACUUCUCUCCAGGACCCCACCAGCAGUGGGAGGAUGGGGUCUCUGAGAGGUGGGUCCCCCUCAGAGCCCCCUCAGGCUGGGCCCCUUGUCCCAGCUAAUGCAGAGCCCACCAUCCUAGCCUCUGUGCUGACCGCACACAGUGAGCCCUCUGAGAGGCCCUUGGUCCCAGAAGGGAUAUGGCCUGAGCUCCAGGCUCCAACAGAGAUCUAUGGCUGGCCUCCACACCACUCAUAGGACCUGAGUCCUUGCGCUCUCCAGUACCCCCUGAUGUUCCCCUGUAGGGCCUAGCAGGUGCAUGGUCCCUAUCAGCCCCUGUAUGCAAGCUGUGGGCACCAUGGCCCUAGCCCAGCCUUAAGCCCUGACAUGGCUGCUUGUCCAGGUGGGUUGGCCUCCACCCAAGCAGAGCAGAAGGAGCCAAAGGGGCCAUGUCCAAGCUAGAGGAGGGCUGGGGUCCCAAAGGGCCAAGCCUACACAAGGGCUGUGGUGGCAGGGAGUCAGAGUGCUAGGUGGGUACCCACCAGCCGUAGCCCUGGCUGGUGGAGGCUGAUCAGCUGGAGGAGGCCUGCAGUGUUUGUCACCUGUGUUCAGUCUUUGAGGGCUGCUGGAGGUGGUGUCCCUGGCACUUCCACCAGGAGCAGGUAGGAGUUGGGUAGUGAGGUCUAGCGGUACAGGCCCUGGUCGAGGAAGAGGCUGGAGAGGGAGGUGGCCUACAGGUGAGGUGUGACAGGAUGGCAGCUGUAGGGCCUGGAAUGGGGAGUGGGAAGGACGAACCUGCAAGAUAUGCUGGGACCCUGCUGUGAGCCCUUGUGGGAACAGCCUCAGCUGGAGGAGCCUCUACCACAGUGCCAUCCUCCUCUGAAAGCUGCCUCAGCUUCAUGCCACUGUGUGGUCGACUGAGGACACACAGUGUGGGAAGUAUGGGGAGGCCUGGUUCAUAACUAUCUGUGUGGUGGGCUGAGAGGAUUGAGUUGAGAGGGACUAGUUGGAUAUGGAACAUCACCUUGGGGACAGUGUCAUUGCAGGUUGCUGCUGGCCACCCUGAUGCCCUGGAAAGAAAAUGUGAAAGGCCCACAGUUUCUUGACACUUCAGGACCCGCCAGGACCUUCGUGGACCCCAGGCCCAUACCUGGGAAGAAACCACGUGAAGUGGCAGCGCAUUGGAGCACUAUUGGAUGCCUGUGCUCUGGAGUGAGAACCCCCUCCCCCCAGCAGAGGACAAGUGGCUGCACUUGCUUCUCCACUGGAACACAGGGCAUGGGAAAGACGUCUAGGUGCCGAGUGGCUCAUUCCACACUCAGGAGUUUGCUCCAACCCAGUCCCAGGGCCAGCCUGGGGGCAGCUCUGGGGCAGAGCAGGGCUGGUCUGGUCCAAGCAGCAGGAAGUGCCCCUGCUGUGAUAUGCAGUCUGACCCCUAGACUGAAGGUGUGGGGGGGGAAAGGUGGGAUUCCAGACCAAGUGCCCAUGGAGGGUGCAGAACUCCUGGGAUGGCUCUGGUCCCUGGCAGAGGACUGUCUGGCUACAGAAUGCCCAUGGCCAUGCAUCCACACUGCCCUCUGGCCCUGGUUCUCCAGACAUGCCCUGUUAGAAGGUGGCAGGCCCAAGGACGGUUGUUUCCAGAUGUACAGGGUAACUCUGGGACAGAAGGACAUUAGUGUCCUGCAUAUACAGGUGGCCUUCUCAUAGAAGAGACAUGUAUUCACACCCUCCAACUUUUCUCCCAGAGCACCUCUGCUGAAGGAGGGCCAGGUAGCUGCCCAUGGGCUCUGGUCUGGGUGUCCCAGGGUGGGGUGUUCCCUGCCUCCAAGCUCCAUGUUGAUGGCACCCCCUCCCCCAGUCAUGGCAAACAGGCGACUCCAGACAUGGCCUGUGUACUGAGGGGACAUGGUGGCUGCCUAUGGAGAGCAAAGCCCGGGGUCCCUGCAACAUCCGUGGCAUUAGAGCGGGGACACACUCAACUGCGAAGCUGGAGCAGGGGCAGGCCAUCACAGAGGGGAGCUUCCGGAGGCUUCUAGCCUGGCAGGGUGUUCCAGGACCUGAGUGUCCGCUGUGUCCCCAGGGGACACGGAGACCCUUUAUCCCUCUCCUGCUUCCCCCUCCACCAUGAACACAGCUGGAGGGCAGCGGCCCCACAGCGCCACCUGCUGGCACCAAGCCAUGCUCACCCGGGGUCCCGCUGUCCAUGCGCAGGCUGCAGGGCCAGGGCCGAGUGGCGCGGGAGCUGGAGGGCCCGCGGGCGGAGCUGCGUGAGCAGGGUAACAGACUCCAGAGCCCGUAGUCACCAACACCUAAGCCCAGUUUAUGUGCCCGUGCUUUGGCAGGUGGGCCAGGCAGACAGCAGCAUCUGGAGCCGCGCGGUUCCCAGCUGGGAGGUGGCAUUGGCGCCAAGCGCCUGAACCCAGCAGGGUCACGCGUCUCAGGGGCAGCUUAGGUCCGGCCAAAUACUUUUCCCACGAGGAACCCGCUGGGCUGUGUAUGCAGGUGGCAUGAGUGUACCCAAGUGUACAUGUGGGGAAGACCUUGCUCUAGCUCUUGCUGGACUUGUAGCCUCUCCUUCCCCAGACACCUCACCCACCCCCCCACCCCCCCACCAAGUUGCUCCCUAGGCCAGGGGCCUUUUUGACUCUCCUGGUUUUCCACCUGUCCACUACAUCACUGCCCAGCAUCACACCUACCUGAUGACCCUCCCAUCCUCAGCACAGCCUGUGUCAACCUUGUCUUCUGCCUGCCCCUGCCUUCUCAUGACCAUCCCUGUGGCCUGCUCAGCACUUCAAAGCACCUUGUGGCCUACCCAUCCACUACCCCAGCUGCACUAUGAUGAUCUCCGCUGUGCAGGGACCACCUGGCAUACGGAGACCAGUGCCAGCCUGUUAGGUGCUGCUGUGCCCCCAGCAGACUCCCUCAUGGGUCUGAGGUGAACAAAAGCAGCCCUACCCCAGCCGUGUGCUCUAGCUGUUCAGGGCGCCUUGCCCUGGGGCCAGAUGGAGCAGGAGCAAGAUCAGGUGGAAGAAGCUGGAGGAGCCAGAGGCGAGACUGACCCAUACCUGCCUGUGCCCAGGGACAGAAAAGCCAAGUGCCUGAAAAAGACCUGCUGCAUCUGUGUCCUCUGCAGACCUCGGCGGUCCUGGCCAACUCCCAGCUCUGGCAGGAUGGUGCAAACUCAC
Otolemur garnettii (small-eared galago) is the source of this 3540-nucleotide long non-coding RNA. RefSeq lists it as uncharacterized. NCBI's taxonomy places the organism in Eukaryota, Metazoa, Chordata, Mammalia, Primates, Galagidae. The transcript has 3 exons. The record is from RefSeq and is a predicted model, not a curated record.